This is a long non-coding RNA of Vidua macroura (Pin-tailed whydah), 856 nucleotides long. RefSeq lists it as uncharacterized. The record is from RefSeq and is a predicted model, not a curated record. The transcript has 5 exons. Lineage: Eukaryota; Metazoa; Chordata; Aves; Passeriformes; Viduidae.
CAGAAUACGUUCCCGAGGAGUGGGGCCUAGCAAUAUGGCAGCGCACGUUCCAUAGGAAAUCCUGCAGAAUGCUGCUGCUGCUGAGCUCUGUUCCCAAGGAGGGCACAAUCCCUGUGCUCCCUGCCCCGCUCCAGCCUCGACCACUGCAGGGACAGAGCUUUCUCCACCCCAAAAUCCCAGCAGGAAAGCCACCCAGGAUUUUCAAAGAUGCUGCAGCACGAAUUUUGGCUGCUGGAAACUUUGGGAAAAGCUUUUAAGCCCUCGAGCAGCACGGUGUUAACAUUCCCAAAAAGCACCAUGGCAACCUCUCAGUGUUCUUGCCUUCGUGGUCAGCAAGCAGAAGUCUCCAAAGGGGAUCAGAUGAGGGUGACAAAAGCGAUCUGGACACUGCAGCUGCUUCCAAGGAUCCACAACCCAGCAGGGAUGUGGUGGACAGAAGGGCAAGCAGGAGAAGCUCAGCUCCCGAGAGAAGUCUCCAGACUGCUCCCUCUGGCUGCUCCAAGAAGCUGAACUUUCCCUGGAAGCUGUGCCUGGUGCUCCCAGGCCAUUACACACUUCUCACCUGGCUGCCCUGCUGGAAGCUUCACUUUUAGGAUGAAUUCUGCAAGAAAUGCUGUGAAGCAGCAGAAACGCUGAGGAUUGAGAAGGGUCCUCUCAGUGCACGAACUCAUUGGUGGAUAAAGUCACACUCACCUGGAUUCCAGCUCCUCCAGAACGGGACACGAGGUGUGCAAAGGAUCACAAAUUAAUCAGUGGACUUUGGUUUUGCUUUGGUGUGCUUGUAUCAUGUCUGAACAUGCAAAGAACUUGGUUUUCCACAAGGAACCCAGUAAAUGGCACCUCUGUAAAUCAGUGA